AGGUUUAGUCGAACACAUCGUUUUUUAUUUGUAGAAAGCUAAUGUGGAAAUCUCACUCUUCGUAAUCCCAUUUUUCAUCUUCUGCUGAGUCGUGGAAGAUCCACCAUUUAACGGUUUAUACUCGUACCAUUGCGGCGCCUCAUUACUCUCCGGCUUCGCUGCAAUCAUUCGUCAUCAUCUCCCUGUUCAUCGCUGCAGGCAACGUUCGAUGGCGCCAUCUUCCAGGAGAUCGCGCGAAGAAGCGGGCCAUACUAUGAACGUAAGCUUAUAUUAACUUACGUGACAAAGAAACAUCCAAAAACAUCAAUUUAGGUAGAUGAUGAAGAUUAACUUGUUGGUUGCAAACUUGCAUGCAUAAGCAAAAAAAAAAUCUAGUGCAAGUCGAAAUAUGUUCCAGUUUAUUCCAGAUAUGUAUAAGAUAUAUAAUAUAAUGUCUCGCCUUGUUCAUAUUCACUGAAUCAUUGUAAUUGGUCGUGACUCGCUAUGUGUAAAAAGAUUAUCAAGUCGGAUUGGUAUCUUUAUAUUUAUUUAUUUAUUUUGCUGA
Long non-coding RNA from Raphanus sativus (radish), 544 nucleotides. RefSeq lists it as uncharacterized. The record is from RefSeq and is a predicted model, not a curated record. Lineage: Eukaryota; Viridiplantae; Streptophyta; Magnoliopsida; Brassicales; Brassicaceae. The transcript is spliced from 2 exons.